GCAGAUGUGGCCGAGUGGUUAAGGCGACUGACUCGAAAUCAGUUUUCCUCUAUGGGAGCGUAGGUUCGAAUUAUACCAUUUGCG
Molecule: non-coding RNA, 84 nt
Organism: Daphnia carinata
Lineage: Eukaryota; Metazoa; Arthropoda; Branchiopoda; Diplostraca; Daphniidae
Source: the annotation of a RefSeq genome assembly